GAUGAACGCUGGCGGCGUGCUUAACACAUGCAAGUCGAACGGAAAGGCUCCUGCUUGCAGGGGUACUCGAGUGGCGAACGGGUGAGUAACACGUGGGUGAUCUGCCCUGCACUUCGGGAUAAGCCUGGGAAACUGGGUCUAAUACCGGAUAGGACCAUCGUUUAGUGUCGGUGGUGGAAAGUUUUUUCGGUGUGGGAUGAGCUCGCGGCCUAUCAGCUUGUUGGUGGGGUAAUGGCCUACCAAGGCGUCGACGGGUAGCCGGCCUGAGAGGGUGUACGGCCUCAUUGGGACUGAGAUACGGCCCAGACUCCUACGGGAGGCAGCAGUGGGGAAUAUUGCACAAUGGGCGCAAGCCUGAUGCAGCGACGCCGCGUGGGGGAUGACGGCCUUCGGGUUGUAAACUCCUUUCGCCAGGGACGAAGCGAAAGUGACGGUACCUGGAUAAGAAGCACCGGCUAACUACGUG
This 466-nucleotide ribosomal RNA is filed under the name uncultured bacterium. RNAcentral's name for it is "partial 16S ribosomal RNA". It matches the Rfam family "Bacterial small subunit ribosomal RNA", at positions 28 to 507 of the family's 1533-position model. The record is from RNAcentral.